This 406-nucleotide ribosomal RNA is filed under the name uncultured bacterium. Its description in RNAcentral is "partial 16S ribosomal RNA". It matches the Rfam family "Bacterial small subunit ribosomal RNA", at positions 30 to 526 of the family's 1533-position model. The record is from RNAcentral.
AUUGAACGCUAGCGGAAUGCUUAACACAUGCAAGUCGAACGAGUGGCGGACGGGUGAGUAAUGUAUCGGAAUCUGCCCAGUAGCGGGGGAUAACUACUGGAAACUGUGGCUAAUACCGCAUACUAUUGGAUCGGCCCAUUGCGGAUUAGGUAGUUGGUGGGGUAAAGGCUCACCAAGGCGACGAGCCCUAGCUGGUUUGAGAGGAUUACCAGCCACACCGGGACGUGGACACGGCCCGGACUCCUACGGGAGGCAGCAGUGGGGAAUAUUGCGCAAUGGGUGAAACCCUGACGCAGCCAUCCCGCGUGGAUGAAGAAGGCCUUCGGGUUGUAAAGUACUUUCGGCGGCGAGGCGUUAGUCACAGAAGAAGCACCGGCUAACUCCGUGCCAGCAGCCGCGGUAAUAC